Molecule: ribosomal RNA, 2105 nt
Filed under: Oscillibacter sp. PC13
Lineage: Bacteria; Bacillati; Bacillota; Clostridia; Eubacteriales; Oscillospiraceae
Description: Bacterial large subunit ribosomal RNA
Rfam family: Bacterial large subunit ribosomal RNA
Source: Rfam by way of RNAcentral
AAGUUCGUUGCCAUAGACCCGAAACCGGGUGACCUACCCAUGAGCAGGUUGAAGUGGGGGUGAAACCCCAUGGAGGACCGAACCGACCCCCGUUGCAAUGGUGGCGGAUGACUUGUGGGUAGCGGUGAAAUUCCAAUCGAACUCGGAGAUAGCUGGUUCUCCCCGAAAUAGCUUUAGGGCUAGCGUUAUGUUAGAUUACCGGAGGUAAAGCACUGAAUGGUAGCGGGGCCGAUAAGGUUACCAACGCCUAUCAAACUCUGAAUGCCGGAUAAUUGAUGCAUAGCAGUCAGACAGUGUGAGAUAAGUUUCAUUGUCAAAAGGGAAACAGCCCAGACCUACAGCUAAGGUCCCAAAUGUAUACUAAGUGGAAAACGAUGUGGAAUUGCGAAAACAACCAGGAUGUUGGCUUAGAAGCAGCCACACAUUAAAAGAGUGCGUAAUAGCUCACUGGUCGAGUGACUCUGCGCGGAAAAUGUAACGGGGCUAAGUAUACAACCGAAGCUUAGGAUUGUCUAAAGACAGUGGUAGGGGAGCGUUCUGUAUGGGGUGAAGUCGUAGCGGAAGCAGCGGUGGACUGUACAGAAGUGAGAAUGCCGGAAUGAGUAGCGAGAAUUAUGUGGGAAUCAUAAUGGCCGAAAAUCUAAGGUUUCUUGGGGAAGGUUCGUCCGCCCAAGGUAAGCCGGGGGCUAAGGCGAGGCCGCAAGGCGUAGUCGAUGCACAUACGGUAGAAAUUCCGUAGCCACCGAACUUUAAACCAGAGGGACACUUGAGGAUAGUCGAACCCGGGCGUUGGUUGACCCGGGCGAAAGGGAGCGAAAUAUAGUAGCGAAGUCGACGAUGCCUUGAGGCGAGAAAAGCUCUGGGGUAUACUAAGGUGCCCGUACCGCAAACCGACACAGGUAGAUGAGGAGAGAAUCCUAAGGCCAACGGGAGAAGGGUUGUUAAGGAACUCGGCAAGUUGACCCCGUAACUUCGGAAGAAGGGGAGCCUCGAAAGAGGCCGCAGUGAAUAGGCCCAAGCAACUGUUUACCAAAAACACAGGUCUAUGCUAAAUCGAAAGAUGACGUAUAUGGGCUGACGCCUGCCCGGUGCCGGAAGGUUAAGAGGAGAUGUCAGGGGCAACCCGAAGCAUUGAAUUGAAGCCCCGGUAAACGGCGGCCGUAACUAUAACGGUCCUAAGGUAGCGAAAUUCCUUGUCAGGUAAGUUCUGACCCGCACGAAAGGCGUAAUGAUUUGGGCACUGUCUCAACAGCCCGCCCGGCGAAAUUGUAGUACCGGUGAAGAUGCCGGUUACCCGCAACUAGACGGAAAGACCCCAUGGAGCUUUACUGCAGCUUAAUACUGGAAAUCGGUAAUUCAUGUACAGGAUAGGUGGGAGACUUGGAAGCCCGGGCGUCAGCUCGGGUGGAGUCGCCGGUGGGAUACCACUCUUGGAUUGCUGAUUUUCUAACCUGCGGCCGUGAAUCCGGUCGGGGGACACUGUUAGGCGGGCAGUUUGACUGGGGCGGUCGCCUCCUAAAAUGUAACGGAGGCGCUCAAAGGUUGGCUCAGCACGGACGGAAAUCGUGCAGUGAGUGUAAACGUAUAAGCCAGCCUAACUGCGAGACCGACGGGUCGAGCAGUAACGAAAGUUGGAGUUAGUGAUCCGGUGGUAUGUGAGUGGAAAUGCCAUCGCUCAACGGAUAAAAGCUACCCUGGGGAUAACAGGCUGAUCUCCCCCAAGCGUCCACAGCGACGGGGAGGUUUGGCACCUCGAUGUCGGCUCGUCACAUCCUGGGGCUGAAUUCGGUCCCAAGGGUUCGGCUGUUCGCCGAUUAAAGUGGCACGCGAGCUGGGUUCAGAACGUCGUGAGACAGUUCGGUCCCUAUCUGUUGCGGGCGUAAGAGAUUUGAAGGGAGCUGUCCUUAGUACGAGAGGACCGGGAUGGACGUACCUCUGGUGCACCAGUUGUCCUGCCAAGGGCAUAGCUGGGUAGCUAUGUACGGACGAGAUAAACGCUGAAAGCAUCUAAGCGUGAAACUCCCCCUAAGAUGAGAUCUCUCACUCUAUAUGAGGUAAGGGCCCAGGAAGACUACCUGGUUGAUAGGCAAGAGGUGGAAGCGCAG